GUGAAGCGGCAAAAGCUCAAAUUUGAAAUCUAGCACCUUCGGUGUUCGAGUUGUAAUUUGAAGAUGGUAACCUUGGGUUUGGCUCUUGUCUAUGUUCCUUGGAACAGGACGUCAUAGAGGGUGAGAAUCCCGUCUGAUGAGAUGCCCAUUCCUAUGUAAGGUGCUAUCGAAGAGUCGAGUUGUUUGGGAAUGCAGCUCUAAGUGGGUGGUAAAUUCCAUCUAAAGCUAAAUAUUGGCGAGAGACCGAUAGCGAACAAGUACAGUGAUGGAAAGAUGAAAAGAACUUUGAAAAGAGAGUGAAAAAGUACGUGAAAUUGUUGAAAGGGAAGGGCAUUAGAUCAGACUUGGUGUUUUACGAUUAUCUUCUCUUCUUGAGUUGUGCACUCGUAUUUCACUGGGCCAGCAUCGAUUCGGAUGGCAAGAUAAUGGCAGUUGAAUGUGGCUUCACUUCGGUGGAGUGUUAUAGCUUCUGCUGAUAUUGCCUGUCUGGAUCGAGGGCUGCGUCUUGACUAGAUGCUGCA
Molecule: ribosomal RNA, 521 nt
Filed under: Hansenula anomala
Lineage: Eukaryota; Fungi; Ascomycota; Saccharomycetes; Phaffomycetales; Wickerhamomycetaceae
Description: LSU rRNA
Rfam family: Eukaryotic large subunit ribosomal RNA
Source: RNAcentral